Small nuclear RNA from Lagenorhynchus albirostris (white-beaked dolphin), 107 nucleotides. Lineage: Eukaryota; Metazoa; Chordata; Mammalia; Artiodactyla; Delphinidae. The record is from RefSeq and is a predicted model, not a curated record.
GUGCGCACCCCAGCAGCACGCAUACUCAACCUGGAACGACACAGGCAAGAUUCGCACGGUCCCUGCACAAGGAUGACACGCAAAUUCGUGGCGCGUUCCAUAGUUUU